This is a ribosomal RNA of 933 nucleotides. It matches the Rfam family "Eukaryotic small subunit ribosomal RNA", at positions 168 to 944 of the family's 1831-position model.
UGCGUUUAUUAAGUUUGAAAGCAAUUUCUUGCUUAAAGCAUUUAUUAGAGCAAACCAGCUAUUGUGUGAAUGGGUAACUAAGCACACAGUGUGGGUGAAUCUAGAUAACUUGUCUGAUCGUAUUGGCUUUGAGCCGGCGACAUUUCAGUUGAAUCUCUGCCCUAUCAACUUGUUGGUAAGGUANUGGCUUACCAAGGUUACAACGGGUAACGGGGAAUCAGGGUUCGAUUCCGGAGAGGGAGCCUGAGAAACGGCUACCACAUCCAAGGAAGGCAGCAGGCGCGCAAAUUACCCAAUCCAGACACUGGGAGGUAGUAACGAGAAUUACUGAGUAGUGGUCCGAAUGGGCUACUAGUUUGGAAUGAACGUGAUUUAGUACAUCCGAUGAGUAACAACUAGAGGGCAAGUCUGGUGCCAGCAGCCGCGGUAAUUCCAGCUCUAGUGGCGUACUUUAAAGUUGCUGCGUUUAAAACGCUCGUAGUUGGAUCACGCGAUGUUAGGCAGUGGAAUGGCUUUGUAUACGCUUAAACCUUGCCGGUUAAUGUGGCUACGUUCUACCGUGGACGCAUUCAACUGACGCGAGGAGUAUACAAAGUUCAUUAUAAGCUGUUUAACAUUACUUGCACGUGGGAAUGGUCGUUGACCUUAAUUGAGUUGAUGAUUGUGUCUCACGGAGUGUGCCUUGAAUAAAUCAGAGUGCUUAAAGCAGGUAUUUGCCUGAAUGUUGAUAGCAUGGAACGAACAGUUGUGUAAUAGUGCAAUGAUUGAUUUGGUAUCACAAAACUUUGAGUCUAGUGUACUGGUCUCAUGCACAGCACCAACCACCAAUAUCGGAUGUUGGUUCCGUAUUGGGGUGAUGAUUAAGAGGAGCGGUUGGGGGCUUUGGUAUUUGGCAGCGAGAGGUGAAUAANUUGGCNCNANAGGUGAAAUUAA